Long non-coding RNA from Humulus lupulus (European hop), 883 nucleotides. RefSeq lists it as uncharacterized. NCBI's taxonomy places the organism in Eukaryota, Viridiplantae, Streptophyta, Magnoliopsida, Rosales, Cannabaceae. The record is from RefSeq and is a predicted model, not a curated record. The transcript is spliced from 3 exons.
CCUCUCAACUCUUUCAAUCUUUCUAUUUCAACAGCUUUAAGCCUUCAAGCAUGGGAGAUUCUACCCCUCUCUCAUAGUCUCACUCAUGUUCAUUUUCAAGGCUUGAACCCAGCAAUCACCUCAUGAUGCUCACUUUCUCCUUUACCUCUUUGGUGUCACGACUUCUUUCCUUCACCACGACACAACCUUUGUUCAUGACAGUGACACCACAAAUAUGGCAGCAAGAGAACAAGCAGUCCUCCAAGUAUCCAAGACUCUAUAAAUAUCAAAGAAAUCAGUUCCUUAUUUGAAUUUUUGAAUGCUCAAAGAAUAUUUCGUCACUUUGUUAAACUCAGAUAAUAAAAUUAAGGAUAAGGCAACAAAGGAGAAGACCAAGACACGUAUUGCCAUUGAUUGGUCGAUUCAAAUUUUUUAUUUUGUUUAAAUUUUUAUGAACUAUUUAGUUGCUAUAAUAAUGACUCUAAUAAGUUUAGUAAUUGUGUUUGGAAUUUGGAUAACUGUAAUAUCUGGUAUAAUAUUUGGCCAAUGGGUUUUAAUUUGAUAUAGAUUUUUUUAAAUGAGUUAUAACCUAACCCUACCCAACCCAACCCUUAAUGUAAUUAGUAGGGUUGAUUUAUAUAUUAAAAAUGUUUUAAAUAGGUUAGAAUUCUGUAGUCCAAUGUACUUGGGUUGGUUCAUUCAAACAUCCUCAACCCGGCCAAUCCAACCCAUGCCCAGCCCUAGAAACUAAAAAUAGUUUAUGCAUGUAUACUACUCUACACUGUGACUUUUUCUAUUAUUAUUUUAUUAUAUUAUUAAUUUCUUUUUAAAUAUUAUUGUAAUUUAUACAUAUGUCAUGUAGCCAUAUAAAUAUAUGUUUAUGUCAAUAUUGUGUUUAGAUAUC